UACGGGGGGAGCAAGCGUUGUUCGGAUUUACUGGGCGUAAAGAGCUCGUAGGCGGUGUGUCGCGUCGGCCGUGAAAACCUGCAGCUUAACUGUGGGCUUGCGGUCGAUACGGGCAUGACUGGAGUUCGGCAGGGGAGACUGGAAUUCCUGGUGUAGCGGUGAAAUGCGCAGAUAUCAGGAGGAACACCCGUAGCGAAGGCGGCACUCUGGGCCGAUACUGACACUGAGGAGCGAAAGCGUGGGGAGCGAACAGG
This 254-nucleotide ribosomal RNA is filed under the name uncultured bacterium. Its description in RNAcentral is "partial 16S ribosomal RNA". It matches the Rfam family "Bacterial small subunit ribosomal RNA", at positions 524 to 776 of the family's 1533-position model. The record is from RNAcentral.